Long non-coding RNA from Cephus cinctus (wheat stem sawfly), 4514 nucleotides. RefSeq lists it as uncharacterized. NCBI's taxonomy places the organism in Eukaryota, Metazoa, Arthropoda, Insecta, Hymenoptera, Cephidae. The record is from RefSeq and is a predicted model, not a curated record. The transcript is spliced from 4 exons.
AAUAUAUAGGGUGAUUAAUUUUCUACUUAAAUAUCAAACUAAUCGGAUUGAUAUUGUCUUUAUAGUAUAGAUAAAUUAAUCUAUGGGCUGUGAAAAUGAAUUCUACCGUCGGGUAUCAUCUGCUGAUAGGUUAUAGUACAGAAACGUUAUCUGAAUGUAAAACUGACGUUGCGGUCACGUUAUAUAAGAUACGACCAUGUAAGAUUAUGUUUUGGUACCUAAAAAAUGUAUGUUUAUUAUUGGAUAUGUUAAGUACGUGGUAAACACGACUCAACCCUUCCUUUACAUAUUUAUUUCCAGACCCCUAAAUUUACAAACUAGUGCAAAAUCGCAUCAGUGAUUUUCAACAGUUUACAUAUCGAAUUCAACUUGAUAAAUUUGAAUUUUCAAUCGGUCUUCUCUAAAGUUCGAAAUGUUCCCAGUCCACUGGAAAUGAUGAAGUUUAAAAGAAAAAUAUUUGUCAUCAGAGACAAACCAGAUCUAGUUGACUUUUUCGAGAUACAUAAAAAAAUAGUAAAUUCGUGAUGGGAAUUUCUAUCGACGUGUAAAGGGUUAAUAUAUCAAUCUCAGUGGCGAACUAUUAUAUAUAUAUAUAUGCUACUUAAUUAGUUAAUUAUAUAUACUACAGCGGAGUCCAGUUAUUACUACUUCGCUUGCAACGAUCGACCGCACGUUACAUCCCCCUUGUCCAAGUUUGGUUAGAAUAUAAGGACGUUCCUAUGUAUUCUCAUUUUGCUUGUUAAGUCGUUGGUCUAGUACGUCAUUUCCUUGUCCCUUGAACGUCGUUAUAAACGGACUGCACUGUAUAUAUAUUCCGAAUGAAAUAUAUCGAUAUAAUCGAGUUCUAAAAAGGUCAAUCGAACAGUAUAUAAAUUUUCACAGACACGUGGAGUUUAAAGAAAAUUUCAUAAUCAGAUCUACAGUACGUUUAAUUAUACAAAAUAAUUUGAGAACUCCAAAAGUAUUCUUCGCGUUUGAUAUAUCUCUAAGGACUGGACUCUUUCACAAUUCCAUUAUAAGUUUCGACAGUGGAAACUUUUACACGACUAAAUGGAUUGACAAUUUCAUUUUUUACAGUCAUUAUAUCACAAUAGUAGAGAAAAAUUUAUUCCACGCUGCUGUCAUUCUUUCCAUUAUGAUUUCAAUCUGUACUCUGCCCAUUGAAGAACCUCAAAGAUGAAUAAUUAUACCCAAAGAAAGAACCAGCUGAAUUGUAUCAUUAAUAAUAAUAAAAUUACCGCAAACUCAAUCUCUCAUCUGCAAAACGAAUACAUACAGAGCUUUAACUUGCGCAAUCAAGUGUAAUAUACGUGCACGCAACCGUCUAAGAAGGUAAGUAUAAUUACACUGAGGGGGUAGAUUGAGAAUUUAAAUCAGCCAGUACGUAUGCCGUAGUACCUCAAUGUGGGGAUAUUUGAAAUAUUUGAUUACAAAGAAAUCUCAAGCAAUUCACUUGUUCAUCAGUGAAUGACAACUUGGUAAGAGCAAAGUUAUUUUCAAAUCACAAUGAUAAUCAAAUCAAAAUUUCAUAUAUAUAUAUGUAAUUACAUAUGCAUAUACUAUAUACACAUAAUAUAUAACGUAAAAUCAAAGUCUCUCGACGUGUUUAGUUAUGCACUAGUGCAUUGAUCUCAGAUCGCAACCCGCGUAAUUAACUCGUAAUAUAUAUCUAUGGUUAGAAGCACGGCGUUACGUAAUGUCGAUAUCUCUGUCUACAACUCUAUGUAUACCACUGUAGGACUUCGCCACUCCACAGUCUGUCGUUCUAGGGAUUCCCCCCACUUCUUCCCAGCCAACCAGCAUCCCUGUCCGACACUCUCUUGUUCAUAGAUUCUCUGGACGAAGCGACUGGUCCGUAGACCGAUUAGGCUAGUUACACUCUUUCAGCUGUUCCCAAGUGCUGUUUUUUCUCUUUCUUACGAUCCUGCGAGACAACGAAGCACGUUUAAAUGUUAUCCUACGACGGCAGUACACAGGAAGCGUCACCAGCAGCUAAUGAGAAAGUUGCGAUGGUCUUAUCAAUCGAUCGAUAAUUAUCAUUAGACAGUCACUCGAUUCCGCGGCUAUACACGGACUUCUUGCUUUCGUUCUCAAUCCAGCGAAUGUAUUGACUCCGAUCUAGCGUUGCAAUUGCAAUUGCGGUUGCAGACACAGCUGCAAGUCGUUUCCUGGUUCGACGGUUGAAACAUAGUGCACAGAACCAGUCCGUGACGUCACGAGCUCGCGAGCAUGGCAGAGCUUAGGAUGAUUUCCGGGUUCGAGUCUCGGCUUCGUGCCCGCCUUUGAUUUAUUAAAUGCAGAAAUCACACACGCGGUUAACCCUGCUGGGUGUAUCGCGAACUAAGAGCACCGACCAUGUUGCGGAAUUCUGAUCUAUCGAAGAAAAAGGAUUACACUCGACGAAAUACGUCGUAUGCGGAAACGGGAAGAAACAGAAUAUAAAGAAGUUGAACGAGCGGUAAAGAAGAGUUCGGUCUGGUGUCGGUGUCUCAGGUGCUUCUACUCCGUGGUUAAAGAAGUUUGCAUGCUGAGCUGCGUCAGAAGAAUCGGACCUUAUGGUACCAGAAACGAGUGAAAACUUUGACAAGCGUGAUCAAAAGUGAUGCAGUUAACACGUAGAUUUCAUCAGCAAGAAACUUUUCGAAGAAGAAGACGCCCGCAAGGCAAUAGGCACUCCCGUGUAACGAAUAAUCGAUAACGAAGCUUCGCUGUACCCUUAUCUUCACGUUGAAUCUCAAGCCUCUCAAUGUGCUACCUGGUAAUUAUAGCUAAUAAAGGGAAAAAAAAAGAAACGACGCUGUUCAAGGAGAUGGUAAUAAAGCAAUUUCUUCAAAGUAUAUACCAACGUAUAGCAACUCGUUCAACAAUAUCCAGCAUAGAUUGGGAGAGGCCAUGGAUCUUGACGGUGUUGCUACGUUUACUGCUGGACCAACGAGAACCACCAUCGUUACCACCCCCGACGCUCAACUUCAUACUGCUCUGCGGGACGCCUGGCGUCUACACACUUUCUCUACUUCUCUCGUCUCGCGGUCUAUAAUCUUACAGAGAUUGGAGUAUAGAUAUACUGGUGUAAAGAUACAUACGAAAAUGUUGAAGAGAAGUAAGAGAGAACCUGCUGCGUCGCUUGAGACUUCCAGCCUCCGAGAUCCCUUGCAUUGUUGAGUAUAAUGGAGGCUGGUGGACCAAUGGGAAAGAAAGGAAGAAAGAGAUACACUGAAAGGAAAAGGGAGUUAAAACAGGAGAGCGAAAAAAGAUAUAGAAUAUAGAACAGAUGUUAUUGGUUUAGACAAAUUUUCAUUGGACGAAAUAUAAUAACUGUUAAAUAUUUUAUGUCGUAAUGAUACAUUGCAAUGUGUUUCUAUGAAUUUUCUAUAAUACCGUAGAAAAAUGAAUGGGGAAUACUGAUGACGUUAUCAACAUUUAUAGAUAGCAAUUCGGAUAAUGUGAUACUUGAAUUAUUAACUGUGUAUUCGUAUACUGACGCAACGAUUUUACUUCUCGGAUAUAGGGUUUAUGAAAUAUUAAUUAUUUUCAUUAAUAAUUAUUUCAGAGGAAUUUAUAUAUUAUUUAUAUGUAAUGCUAGAGCGUUACACGUUAAUGGUAUUAUUUAAGACUGUUAUUUAAGACUGCUAAUAUUUUUUUUUUAUGGAAAAUGUGCGGCUGCUGUGGCGAGAUUUAGUAUUUUUAUAUGAACAAAUUGAUUAGCGAAUUUGUCAUAGAUAAUCGAAUAGGUAUAAGAACUUUGAUUAUUUUAUAUACUAAUUGUAGGCUACAUAAUACAGCAGUUUAUUGGAAAUCAUUUAUAGAAGUGAUAACCCACGUAUCCUUUUCACCUUAAAUGUUCACUUUCGUUAGUAUAAUUUACUUUAAGAUUCUUUAGGUAAUUAAUAUCCGACUUGACGUCAUCUUUCGAAUCUCCUCGAUUCGGAUUAACCUAUAGUUUGGAGUAUUUGAUAAAAUAUUAUUAGGAAAUUGACGUUGAUUACAGACGGUUUUAAGGUAACGGCAAAACUAUGCGAAUAUACUAAUUGUAAGUUAAUUUUAUUCUCUAAGUAAAGUGGGUGAGAAUCCAUCCAAAUGGAAUGAUUAAUAUAAAAAAAAAGAUAAACUGAAAAAACCACAGAUACAGUAAUGGAGUAGAUACUAACUAUAGAUGAUCAAAAUGUUACCGUUGGAUGAAGUAAAAGCAAUGAGGAAAAGUGCAAAGUUAGGAAAACUCAGAAGCAAUAAAUCUUAGUACUCCUAUAAAAUAACCUACAGUCCUGUCGAUAUGUCACGUUACGUCUAGAGAAUUGAACUCGAAUUCAGCUCUGCGAUAUGAGGAUCUUUGGCUAAAUUUAAGAAACCGAACACAAACUCCUUGUAGAGUGAAAGACUUCGAAUCUUCUAAAUAUAAUUUCAGAUGGUUUUCAUGCACUCGAAUUGUACAAUAAGUUCAUACGUCUGAACUUACAAGGAAACCCCCCCAACCCGACCCCACCGAUUUCAAUAAUUUUUUGAUAUGUUGUAGUACU